GUGGAAAAAUAUAUUUCAAUAAUUUCUCAUAUCUUUAUGUAUAUUUUUUUCCACAGUGGUUUAAAGUCAACUUUGGAAAAGGAAACAUUCUUCCUAUCAACCUCAGGAAGAGAGAUCUAUGAUGUUUCCUAUGACAUCUUGCGGUACCACAGAAAGGAAGAUUAAAAAAAAGUCACUUUUCAUUUUCAAAGUGUAAAUAUAGUGCCAUGUUUUAUGUGUUUACCAUCUUCUUAAUCCUAGAUACAAAAUUUCCGACAUCUCUAGCCAGCUUGUCAGGAAGGUUUGUGAAACUUGGACCAUUCCUAAUUAUACAGGCUCAGAAAAGACUGUUUUCCAAAUAUCUGGCACAUACCAACCUCAUGACUGAAAGAAGCUAUAGAGAAAAGACACUUACUGAUAUUUGCCAUGGCUGCCACCUAGUUAUACAAGCAGGGCAAGUCAUGAGCGAUGAGCCACAAGCCAGCACCUCAAAAAGAAAUCUGGAUCCAGAAGAUCAUCGGGCAAGCCAGGAUGAAGUAGACUCAACUCCAAAGGAUGACAAGAGCGAGGAAGAAGAGGACAUCACUUCCCAGGACACAAUCAGUGACCAGGAUGAUACUGGCUGGACUUCAAGUUGAAUAGACUGUCAAUUUUAUUUUUUAUGAAAAAAAUCUGGUUCCAGAAGAUCAUCAGGCAAGCCAGGAUGAAGCAGACUCGACACCAAAGGAAGACAAAAUGCAAUCUUCUGAUGAAGUUACUGAACAGGAUCAGAGUAGCUCUGUAACCCUAAGAAGAACAUUUGCUGAGGCUGGUGUCCACAAGAAGCAUGAUGCGAAUUCCCAAAUGUUUCUGAACUUCAGAGAAUACCUGGCAAUUCACUUCAGAGUUGGGCAUAAGCCAAAUUAAAAUGUUUCCUGCUACUUAUAUUUUGUGAGCACGGAGGAGAUCUCUUUGGGAUUUCUCAGUGAACCAGAGAAAACCAAACUAUAUAUGAGCACCCUCUUGCGUUUGAAGACGGCUAUAAAUACCAUCAAAAAUUACCUUAACCAUAUCCAGCAGUUUACUAGAUUUGUGAUUUUGGAAAAAACUUCCACGAAACCAUCAGGGAGCACACCAAAGAGUCUGCCCGGUCCUUCCUUGCAGAACUGAAGAAAAUACAUGGAGAUUAACCAGAACUUCACCAAAAAGCCACAAAAAAAAUUGAAGCAAGGGUUAGGCCAUAAGAACUAAAUUACACAGGGGGCAGUGGGAAUUUAGUCCCAAAUAUUUAGUAGUUACUACCUUAUUAAUAUUGGUAUUGCAUGGCUCUGAAUCAUUUAGGAUUUUUUUUUUUUAAUCAAUUAACACAACUGUAUUUUUUUUUUCUUUAUCAGUGACAGACAUGUAAACCCUAUGGAUUGCCACACUAGCAGCAGAUUACUAGCAGCAGCAAAGCCCCAUGUGGUAAACAUGUUCUCUCGGUCAGAGAUUGUGGACUGGAUGACAAAGACAAGACCAUCACAUGCCACUACCUUGAAGCUUUGCUGAUGCUUAAUCAUCUUCGCAAACCAGUGGUCCAAACCUGAUGGUUAAAGAUUGGCUGGAGAGGAAAUAUACCACCUAUUUUGAUGGAAGCACCAAAAAGAGGGUCUGCAUUGUGAAAACACAAGGGACUGCUAUUGUGCUUGCGGAUGAGGAGGAGCUGCUGUUCAGCACAUACGUUAAAGAUAUCCGCCCAACCCAACUGGCAAAGGAAUCAAAGACAGUGGAGUUUUGUGUUGCACAAAGGAAAACCAGUCACAAAUCCGUGCAAUGACAAAGACUUCAUGAGAAGUUUAAGAUACCUGCAGUAUCUGGAAAAGAGGCAUUUGAUCAGUGGGCCGAUGACAAUCUAUGUCAGAAAGAUAGAGACAUUGUUAAUUAUAUCCACCUGGACAUCAGCCAACUCAGAUUCAGUAAAAAUGCAGUUAUCCAGGGUAUGUAUAUUCUCACCACAUUGAGGGGUGCAAAUGAAUCUGAAGAAGAAUCAGAAGAAGAUCAAGUAGAAGCAGAAGAGGAAUGAGGAGAAGGAGGAGCUGAAAGCACUGCAAGUGUUGAAGACCUUUUAGACCUUAACGAGGAGAGCUUCCAAAGAUUACCUCCAAUAUAUCCUUUAGGCCUCAACCAGUCCCCUCCAUCCUUAAAUGUAUGUAGGCAGGCCAGCCAACUCAAUGCACAAUACUGCCUGGGUAAAUAGAGACGAACACAAUAUACAGAUCAUAUCAAGGAUAUUGUUGAACAUUUCAGGAAUCUUCCCAGCAAAGAGCAAGUGAAGGUUUUUAUGGAACAUCAGGCCUGGACACCAAUGUGCCAAGAACAUUUGACAUUCUACAGGCCUGAAGACCUCGAGAAGAAAAGAGGACACUAUGGAACAUAUUAAAGCUUUAAUAGACUGCCAGGAGUGACCAGGACGUGUGGCUGUGAUGGAUAAAAAUAAAUAAAUAAAUAAAAUUAAUGGAGGUCACUCCCUUAAAACCAAUAGGGUCUUUCAGAAAGGAGAGAUUGUCUGUGACUAUUACAGAGUCCUAAUGGAUGGCAAGGAGGCUGAGGAGCUACAAAAAACAUUGACAAGAAAUGUUAUAGCUUCUUCCAGGACAAAGGGAAGAAGAUGUGCAUAAAUGCAACAAAUACACCUUGCCUGUGCCACCAAGACAUGUUGUCGACUUUUGGGAGGCUGAUCAAUCAUUCAUGCAAGAGGGCAAAUCUGAAACCUGUGGUCAAACAUAUUAAGGAUGGAAAACAGCCAGUUAUUCUCUUAGAGGCAAAGAGGAACCUUUCACCAGGAACAGAACUGUUAUUUGACUAUGGUGUCCGUAAACACUCGUUUGGUGAAGGAAGAAAGCUAAGUUGGCUUGAAACGUGAUAAAAGAAUGCCAUAAUAUGUCAAAGUGUAAUAUAAGGAUAAUAUAUUAGUGUUAGAAUGGUCAAAAACAUUAUGUUAAUUAUUCUGUUAAAUUAUUGAACUGUUAGCUUCGAUUUGCUCAUCUCUAAUUAUGAUGUUUUUACCUUUA
Hyla sarda is the source of this 3008-nucleotide long non-coding RNA. RefSeq lists it as uncharacterized. The transcript is spliced from 9 exons. The record is from RefSeq and is a predicted model, not a curated record. NCBI's taxonomy places the organism in Eukaryota, Metazoa, Chordata, Amphibia, Anura, Hylidae.